Molecule: long non-coding RNA, 1218 nt
Filed under: Elaeis guineensis (African oil palm)
Lineage: Eukaryota; Viridiplantae; Streptophyta; Magnoliopsida; Arecales; Arecaceae
Description: long non-coding RNA (EGUI_LNC060094)
Source: RNAcentral
CGCAAAUGUAAUACCAAUGAAAGAAAUUUAUUGGUUAUCUCAUAAAAUGACAUAAUUUCAUAUUGGACUACUCUUAGUACAUCUCAGCUCAACAAGAUAAGAAGAGUUAAGGGACUAUAUGAGAUAUGAUCUGAUUCAUAAUAGACUUCACUGAUUUAUGUUUCUUUAAAAACAUGCUUUAUUUCUAUGAAAUUAGGUUCUUUCUAAGCCUAUUCUUAUCACACCGUAUGAGAUAUGACAUAUGGUGAGAACUGAAUCUUGAUUAUUUUGAGAUUCAAAGAUAUCCAGCCUGUGUCUAGAACAGCAGGUGGAUAUGUUAGAUGAUAGGUCUAUAAAGCUCAUCCUUAAAGAGUUUGGGAUAUUACUUUCUGAUGGGAUUACAAUGUGAUUGUAACCCGAUAUGCUAUCCUUUUAAAAAACUAUUAGACCAAAAUAAAGCAGUGAGAAGAAAGUUAAGCUCAAAGAGAGUCUCUGAAAAGCAAUGAGCCUUGGGAUCUUAAGAACUUAUUCAUCAUCAGCCAGUAGAUGUAUAUUUCUCCUCCACUUCGUACAUAUAGUAAGAUCUCCAAUCCUCUCGAAAGAUACUCAGGUAUGCUUAGUAGAAGAUGUAGAGAAAAUCAUUUCUCAUGAGAGAUGGGAAGCGCAUAGAGAUGAUCCCAGAAUCUACAACGAGGCGAUGUGAGACAUCGACGUCAAGAAAGGAAUGAGAAAUAGCUUUCUUGAAAAGAGAUCUUUUUAAAGAUUUCUAUAUAGAAUAGCCUAUGGAUUUUACUUCUUAUGAUAGGUGAUCACAAAGUCUAUAAUAAUCUUGGAGUUGGAACGAGUCAUUUGAUGAUAUAAUCAAAUUAUUUGAUCAGAAAAGAGAUUAUGAUUUUCAAAAAGAUCAGUGGGAGUGUCCAAUACUGACAUCAGUUAAAAUAUGGUUGAAUAUAGAUUUCUCCAUUAAAGAUAUAAAGCAGACAUCCUAAAGAUCUAUAGAGAUAGAUGCAACUGGAUGCUUGUGUUUUCAUAGAUAAAGUACAGAGACUGGAUGCUGAAAGAGUUCAGCAUAGAAAUCUCAUAGAAAUAUCUGCUAUCCUCUCAGGCAUAGUCGUAUGUUGUAAUAUACUUGAACUGAUAUAAAUAAUAUCACGAAUAUCACGAGUAGAUAUCAGUUGUAUCUAGACUGUCAGCGCUGGAUUGCUGUGAAAACGACCUUAAGCUCUCGAGAAGAACUGA